Molecule: long non-coding RNA, 1128 nt
Organism: Myotis myotis
Lineage: Eukaryota; Metazoa; Chordata; Mammalia; Chiroptera; Vespertilionidae
Exons: 3
Source: RefSeq, a predicted model, not a curated record
GGCACUGAAAUUUGUCUGACAGGAAUGUUGUGUGGAGAGCAGGCAGAUUGCAUUUGAAGAUAUUAGAGUUCUUUUUACUUUUCAAUAAACUCCAAGGUGCUCUGGAGGGUCUGGUUGGAGUCAUUUUUUGGACUCUCAGAAUGAAUAUUUUUUGGUCCCGUUCAUGGUCUGUAGUCACUUCCAUUUAUUGUAGGAGAGUUUUCUGUCUUGGCUGCAACUUAAGCCUGUGGUCCUUUGGAGAGAAAAUAAGUAGGAGAUAUGUGACUCCAUAUAUGCCAUCCCCCUUCCCCUCUGCCCCCCACACCUCCUCUGCCCUUGAAGGUCCCAGCACUACCCUGGCCCAGGUGGGGAAUGAGGAGUGGGUUUGUAUGGCCUGUGAGGUCUCCAAGGGUUUUUGUGGCACCAUCUGUUGAUCAGCCAGAACAGUGUGUCCAUCCCCCUUCCUGGCUCACAUACAGUGUUUGUUGGCUUCUUCUUAAAGAUGGACACAUUCCUUUUUCUGUUUAAACCACAGACACUGGAUAAACAACCAAUGUUGGUUGCCAUAAUAAGCCAUGGUUGCUUCAGAAAACAAUAAACUCUCGGGUAAAACCAGCAUUAAUGGACUCCAAACAACUGUCACAUCGCGGGCGCUGACUGAGCUUGCUAUCUGGUAGCCAAUGACCUUUCGGUGUGAGCCCACUCCUAGGCAUCACUGGAGGAGGACCAGCUACUUUCCCAUAGUGCACAGGGGUGGCUCUGACAGCUGUGUUUGCCCAAAUGUUUGAUGUCACCUCUCUAUUUAGUCCUUGGACUAGGUCUGAGAAAAGACAACAACAGCAAGUUCUAAACUGUGAACAUGCCAUGACAGUGAACCGGCUUCUUUGCUUAGAUGCUGGGAGUGCUCCACAGAGGCGUGGCUUCAGACGGCUGGACCAGCUUAGCAUGCAAAUGCCUCAGACCUGGCCUUCCUCGAUUGACUGGAGGUUCAAAAGGAGUGCAUUUAGGAUACGGAGAUUCAAAGCUUUCCCCAUGGACCAUGCAUGAGUCAUAGUGACCUCAGGAAGUGAUGAUUUAAUAAAAUGAUUCAACAAAAGAUGAUGAAGCAAGAGAAGAAGAAGAAGAAGAAGAAGAAGAAGAAGAAGAAGA